This 1005-nucleotide ribosomal RNA is filed under the name Enterobacter cloacae. Its description in RNAcentral is "bacterial SSU rRNA". It matches the Rfam family "Bacterial small subunit ribosomal RNA", at positions 34 to 1065 of the family's 1533-position model. The record is from RNAcentral. Lineage: Bacteria; Pseudomonadati; Pseudomonadota; Gammaproteobacteria; Enterobacterales; Enterobacteriaceae.
GGAUUGCGGCAGACUACCAUGCAGUCGAACGGUAGCACAGAGAGCUUGCUCUCGUUUGACGAGUGGCGGACGGGUGAGGCCUGUCUGGGAGACUGCCUGAGGGAGGGGGAGAACUACUGGAAACGGUAGUUACUACCGCAUAAUGUCGGAGACCAAAGAGGGGGACCUUCGGGCCUCUUGCCAUCGAAUGUGCCCAGAUGGGAUUAGCUAGUGGUGGAGUAACGGCUCACCUAAGCAACCAUCCCUGGCUGGUCUGAAAGGAUGACCACCCUCACUGGAACUGACACACGGUCCUCACUCCUACGGCAGGCAGCAGUGGGAAAUAUUGCACAAUGGGCGCCUGCCUGAUGCAUGCAUGCCGCGUGUAUGAAGAAGGCCUUCUGGUUGUAAAGUACUUUCGCGGGAAGGAAGGUGUUGUGGUUAAUAACCGUUUUGUUGACGUUACCCGCAAAACAAGCACCGGCUAACUCCGUGCCAGCAGCCGCGGUAAUACGAGGGUGCAAGCGUUAAUCGGAAUUACUGGGCGUAAAGCGCACGCAGGCGGUCUGUCAAGUAUGAUGUGAAAUCCCCGGGCUCAACCUGGGAACUGCAUUCGAAACUGGCUGCUGGAGUCUUGUAGAGGGGGGUAGAAUUCCAGGUGUAGCGAUGAAAUGCGUAUAGAUCUGGAGGAAUACCGGUGGCGAAGGCGGCCCCCUGGAUACUGACUGACGCUCAGGUGCGAAAGCGUGAGCAGCAAACAUGAUUACUACGCUGGUAGUCCACGCCGUAGACGAUGUCUAUUUGUAGGUAGCGUUCAUGACGCGUGGCUUCAGCAGCUAACGCAUUAAACGACUGCUGAGGAGUACGCAGGAUGAUAAUACUCAGAUGAAUGACGGCGCCGCACAGCGAGCAUCAUGUGUAUUACUACGCUGCACGACGACCAUCCUAGCUCGUCAUGACAUCACGAUCUUCAGAGAUGGAUGCUCUCAGUACUGUCAGCAGCUGCUGCAUGCUGUCGUACUGUGU